AGCUUUUGUACCCCCUUGAGUUGUUUGUACUCAAGUGUGUGGAUUUUACCUCUUGAGUUGUUUAUACUCAAGGUGUUUGCAGCUGAAUAUUUUUUAACUUAGCACUUGUUUGGUACAAGGGAUAACUGAUUUCGGGAUAACUUAUUCCCCAACCAAACAUGCCCUUGGUGAAAUUUCAAGGUUUUAAGCAUUGUUAUGUUUUAUGGCUUGUUCAUUGUAGUGGUCUGCUUUGAUUCAUUUUGGAACCAUAUGAG
Molecule: unclassified non-coding RNA, 254 nt
Filed under: Hevea brasiliensis (rubber tree)
Lineage: Eukaryota; Viridiplantae; Streptophyta; Magnoliopsida; Malpighiales; Euphorbiaceae
Source: RNAcentral